RNAcentral lists this ribosomal RNA (508 nucleotides) under Phyllonorycter ringoniella. RNAcentral's name for it is "SSU rRNA". It matches the Rfam family "Eukaryotic small subunit ribosomal RNA", at positions 572 to 1034 of the family's 1831-position model. Lineage: Eukaryota; Metazoa; Arthropoda; Insecta; Lepidoptera; Gracillariidae. The record is from RNAcentral.
UGACCGGGGGAUUACAGCUACAUAGCGUAUACUAAAAUUGUUCGCGGGUUAAAAAGCUCGUAGUUGCAUUUGUGCGCCGCGCUGUCGGUGCACCGCUUUCGCGGUGAUACUGACACGUCUGCGGAGCAUAUCGUCGGUGAGCCGCCGGUAAAACGGCGGUUCAAUAUCAAAAUCCUAUCGCGGUGCUCUUCAGUGAGUGUCGAGGUGGGCCGACAAUUUUACUUUGAACAAAUUAGAGUGCUCAAAGCGGGCUCAAAAUGCUGCUUGAAUAUUUCGUGCAUGGAAUAAUAGAAUAUGAUCUCGGUUCUAUUUUGUUGGUUUUCAGAACUCCGAGGUAAUGAUUAAUAGGGAUAACUGGGGGCAUUCGUAUUGCGACGUUAGAGGUGAAAUUCUUGGAUCGUCGCAAGACGAACAUCAGCGAAAGCAUUUGCCAAAGGUGUUUUCAUCAAUCAAGAACGAAAGUUAGAGGUUCGAAGGCGAUUAGAUACCGCCAUAGUUUCUAACGGAA